AAACGUUCCACCAACACUCAGGGCCACUGAGGACCAAGAGGGUGUCCUAGGCACCUCCCUGGCAGCAGGUCUCUGUCUGCCCCUCGUAAAAGGGUCCUCUCCUGCUUUCCUGGAUUCUCCUGCCCAGAGAGAACAACGAAUUGACUUUGCCUGUUGCUGAAGAUUCUCAUCUCCUUAAUGCAUUGCAGAUAUGUUUAAUGGACGCAAGCUGUCAUGGUCUGGCGGUAACCAGUACCAGCCAAAAAUAUUUCCCCAUGGGACUGGGUCAUCAGAUUCCAGCUCUGUUCUCACAGUGAAAAAUAUGAAAAGGCUGGAAACGGAGUACACUGCUUCUAAAGAGGCCUUCACUAAGCAGAGAAUACAAGAUUAUAUUAAGCAGACUAAUCUCGCAUGCUUGAACAAAGAGUCAGCUAGGAAAACCAGCACAGAGGUUGUCUGGGAUGCAGAGUCUGAAGGAGCCUCCUCGUCUUUCUCUGCAGAACAGAGGGAAGAAGUCUCCUGGAAGACCUAUGGAGACUUUUCAAAGAAAAAUAAGCUGCUAGCAGCAUCAGCUGCAGAUCCCCCCUCAGCGCAGCCCACUGGCUUCAAGCCGAAGGAAUCCAAGUAAGGAGAGUAAUUGGUAACAUUUUUCUAUAUAAUUCAGUCAUGUUAGGCUGUAUUUAUGCCAUACGUGGGCGAGCAGCAGGAACACCUAACAACUGGAGAUUUACAGUAUGCCUGAGACAUCCACAGCCUGUCAGCUGCCACUGUGCCCUUGCUAUUAAUAAACUGGAAGGAAUGUCUGUCUAAGCGGUUGUCUUUGGGACCCUCAACAUUUUCUACAUUAAAAGAGAUGCUGCUGGCCUCUGCAGAGGGCAUUUUUAUUAUUUUCUGUUGCUGUUAGUCAGAUGCAGCAUCUUUCGAGGCUGCUGCGAUGUAUGAUUUUUAUUCUGCAGGCUGCUGUUCCAGCUGUAGGGGAAAGGGA
This is a long non-coding RNA of Pezoporus flaviventris, 964 nucleotides long. RefSeq lists it as uncharacterized. The transcript is spliced from 3 exons. Lineage: Eukaryota; Metazoa; Chordata; Aves; Psittaciformes; Psittacidae. The record is from RefSeq and is a predicted model, not a curated record.